AGGUCAAGCAAUAAGGGCACAGGGCGGAUGCCUUGGCACUAAGAGCCGAUGAAAGACGUGAUAAGCUGCGAAAAGCUUCGGGGAGGAGCAAAUAUCCCGUGAUCCGGAGAUGUCUGAAUGGGGAAACCCGCAUGAGCAGACCUCAUGCAUCCAUACGCCAAUCCAUAACGUAUGGAAGGGAACCCGGGGAACUGAAACAUCUAAGUACCCGGAGGAAAAGAAAGAAACAUCGAUUCCGUAAGUAGCGGCGAGCGAACGCGGAGGAGCCUAAACCGGUGUGCGUGCAUGCCGGGGUCAUGGACUGCAUUUAAGAUUCAGCGAAGUUAACAGAACGGUUUUGGGAAAGCCGGCCGGAGAGGGUGAAAGCCCCGUACGUGAAAGCAGAGCUGACUGAGCAGGAUCCGGAGUACCACGAGACACGAGGAACCUUGUGGGAAGUAAGGGGGACCACCCCCUAAGGCUAAAUACUACUUAGUGACCGAUAGCGCAUAGUACUGUGAAGGAAAGGUGAAAAGGACCCCGGGAGGGGAGUGAAAGAGAACCUGAAACCCUGUGUCUACAAGCUGUGGAAGUACUUUAUAUGUACGACCGCGUACUUUUUGUAGAACGGUCCGGCGAGUUACGCUUACUGGCAAGGUUAAGCACUUCAGGUGUGGAGCCGUAGGGAAACCAAGUCUUAAUAGGGCCAGAGUCAGUAGGAGUAGACCCGAAACCGGGUGAUCUAUCCAUGUCCAGGUUGAAGCUGCCGUAAGAGGUAGUGGAGGACCGAACCCACAUCCGUUGAAAAGGGUGGGGAUGAGGUGUGGAUAGGGGAGAAAUUCCAAUCGAACCCGGAGAUAGCUGGUUCUCCUCGAAAUAGCUUUAGGGCUAGCCUCGGUGUGAGUCUUGCGGAGGUAGAGCACUGAAUUUCCUAGGGGGCGUCAAAGCCUACCGAAGAAUAUCAAACUCCGAAUGCCGUGUAGAUAUCACCGGGAGUCAGACUGCACGAGAUAAGUUGGGCGGUCAAAAGGGAAAGAGCCCAGACCUACAGUUAAGGUCCCAAAGUGCGCGUUAAGUGGAAAAGGAUGUGGGAUUUCGAAGACAACCAGGAUGUUGGCUCAGAAGCAGCCAUACAUUCAAAGAGUGCGUAAUAGCUCACUGGUCGAGAGGUCCUGCGCCGAAAAUGUCCGGGGCUGAAACGCGCCACCGAAACUAAGGAAUCCGUAAGGAUUGGUAGAGGAGCAUUGCAUAUGGGAAGAAGCAGUACCGUAAGGAGCUGUGGACUAUAUGGAAGAGAGAAUGCCGGAAUGAGUAGCGAGAUAGAGGUGGGAAUCCUCUAGGCCGAAUAUCCAAGGUUUCCAGGGUAAAGCUGAUCUGCCCUGGGUGAGUCGGGACCUA
RNAcentral lists this ribosomal RNA (1377 nucleotides) under Ruminococcus sp. AF17-12. Its description in RNAcentral is "partial 23S ribosomal RNA". It matches the Rfam family "Bacterial large subunit ribosomal RNA", at positions 1 to 1393 of the family's 2925-position model. The record is from RNAcentral. Lineage: Bacteria; Bacillati; Bacillota; Clostridia; Eubacteriales; Oscillospiraceae.